RNAcentral lists this ribosomal RNA (301 nucleotides) under uncultured bacterium. RNAcentral describes it as "partial 16S ribosomal RNA". It matches the Rfam family "Bacterial small subunit ribosomal RNA", at positions 509 to 807 of the family's 1533-position model. The record is from RNAcentral.
CAGUCGCCACGGGAAUACGAAGGGGGCUAGCGUUGUUCGGAAUUACUGGGCGUAAAGCGCACGUAGGCGGACAUUUAAGUCAGGGGUGAAAUCCCAGAGCUCAACUCUGGAACUGCCUUUGAUACUGGGUAUCUUGAGUAUGGAAGAGGUUAGUGGAAUUGCGAGUGUAGAGGUGAAAUUCGUAGAUAUUCGCAGGAACACCAGUGGCGAAGGCGGCUAACUGGUCCAUAACUGACGCUGAGGUGCGAAAGCGUGGGGAGCAAACAGGAUUAGAUACCCCGGUAGUCCCUGUCUCUUAUAC